Molecule: non-coding RNA, 383 nt
Filed under: Selaginella moellendorffii
Lineage: Eukaryota; Viridiplantae; Streptophyta; Lycopodiopsida; Selaginellales; Selaginellaceae
Description: Eukaryotic small subunit ribosomal RNA
Rfam family: Eukaryotic small subunit ribosomal RNA
Source: Rfam by way of RNAcentral
AACAGAUGUGCUGCCUAGGGAAACUUACCAAGUCCAAACAUGGUGGUGCAUGGCUGUUCUUAGUUGGUGGAUUGAUUUGUUUGGUUAAUUUCGAUAAUGAAUGAGACCUCAACUUUACAUGGAGGCUUGCUUCCAUGGCCAGCUUUUUAGAGGGACUUUUCGCUUCCAAUGGAAGGAAGUUUGAGGCAAUAACAAGUUUAUGAUGCCUUUAGAUGUUCUGGGAAGCAUGCACACUACACUAAUGGACUCAAUGAGUGUGUGCUUGGGCUGAAAGGCUUGGGUAAUCUUGUGAAAAUUCAUCAUUAUGGGGAUCAUUGCAAUUAUUGAUCUUUAACAAGGAAUUCUUAGUAAGUGUGAGUCAUUAGCUUGCGCUGACUACAUCC